GUUUUUCUCUCGCUCACACAACGCGCUGGCUAAUUGACUCAAUUGGGCCUCUAACUUAGAAACGGCUUGCACGUUAGAAUGCAAAAUUUGCCUAUCUUGGGUUAGGGUUGUCAUGAAAGUAUGUUGAGAUUGAGUCAAAUUAGUUUGCGAUUUAACUAAGGCUUCCAAACUCUUUUCUAAAGAAUUAAGACGUUUAUCCGAAUCAUUAAAACCGGGAGGAUUCAAAGG
This 228-nucleotide long non-coding RNA is filed under the name Daucus carota (carrot). Its description in RNAcentral is "long non-coding RNA (DCAR_LNC002047)". The record is from RNAcentral. Lineage: Eukaryota; Viridiplantae; Streptophyta; Magnoliopsida; Apiales; Apiaceae.